Molecule: transfer RNA, 73 nt
Filed under: Stegodyphus mimosarum
Lineage: Eukaryota; Metazoa; Arthropoda; Arachnida; Araneae; Eresidae
Rfam family: tRNA
About the family: Transfer RNA (tRNA) molecules are approximately 80 nucleotides in length. Their secondary structure includes four short double-helical elements and three loops (D, anti-codon, and T loops).
Source: Rfam by way of RNAcentral
GCCAUUGUGGUGUAAUGGUCAGCACACUCGGCGCGUAUUCGAGAGGUCCGAGGUUCGAGUCCCGGUGAGGGCA